RNAcentral lists this long non-coding RNA (1103 nucleotides) under Lathyrus oleraceus (garden pea). Its description in RNAcentral is "Pisum sativum (pea) long non-coding RNA (PSAT_LNC010672)". Lineage: Eukaryota; Viridiplantae; Streptophyta; Magnoliopsida; Fabales; Fabaceae. The record is from RNAcentral.
UUAAGUCAAGAAAAAGAAGCAAAUGAUCUAGAAGCAUAUUUAUUAAAUGUAUCAAUCUCAUUGGGCAUCCACUCUUCAUGAUUAAAAAAAAUAAAAAAACUCACUAUAGUGCAUAAACAAGAUGGUAUUAAUGGUAAACCUAUUUUGUUUCUUCACAUUCCUAAAAAAGUAGAACAUAGAACUUGCCUCUGAACUGAAUCGCUUUAACACCUCUCUUCAAUGCCAAUCACUCAUUAGUCAUUUCAAUAAUUGGACAUUGAGCCUUAGGUUAGAAAAUAGCAAAAGAGGAAUAACAGUAGAAAUUUGGGGAAUAUACAAAAUAUAUCCAUUUCCUCCAGCCAAUUGAAAAACAUUUAAAUUUGAGCAGAAACUAAUAUCACACGAAUUGAAAUUCAAAUCAUAACUAGUAGAAUUGAAGAUUUUCCAACAAAAAUAAGAAAGUUAACGAAAACAAUUACCACUACAUAGAUCAUAUAUUAGAAGUGAAUGUUUAAAUAGGAUACAGCACCAUCAUCAUGGACAACCUGCAUUAGACAGAAGGAAUGUUCAUGUUCACUCACAAAACAUAACAAGUGAGGUAACAAAUAAAAUAUUCUUAACUUGAAGCAGUUUGUGUUUAUAAUUAAGAGGGACUGAAAAACUUGCCUGGACUAUAACAGAAGUGGUGGUGUUGGGAUAUAUGGUACGAAUGCAGAUGCUUUCCAAGGUUUUCUUCAAUAUCAUUUCAUACUCCCUCUCGGCUUGACCAACGUGCCCUGUACUUUGCAGAUGCUUUCCAAGGUUUUCUUCAAUAUCAUUUCAUACUCCCUCUCGGCUUGACCAACGUGCCCUGUACUAGGCUUCCAAAUAACUUCAAUGGAAGCUUUUUCGGGAUUUUCGUUCUUCUUGGCCCCGGCUUUAGGUCCGUAAACUGCGGCAAGGAGUUUGGUUUCGCCUUGAGCCCAUGUGGCUGAGCCAUGGGCUCGGUGGAGGACGGAAUGAGAGCAAGCUAGGGGCCUCAGUUGAUUGGGUGUCCUUCCGUCAGGUCUGUCGAUCUCCAUAAAAUUGAUAAAAAUAAAACCACUCUUCCUUCUAAACUCACUCAACUGAGCACAAGAAAAAAC